This 3328-nucleotide long non-coding RNA is filed under the name Homo sapiens (human). Its description in RNAcentral is "HSALNT0164025". The record is from RNAcentral. Lineage: Eukaryota; Metazoa; Chordata; Mammalia; Primates; Hominidae.
CAGGGACAUAUGUAAUAACAGAAAGUUCAAUCCACCAGAAUAUAUAGGAUCCUAAAAUGUACUCACCAAACAACAGAGCCUCAAAAUACAUUAAACAAAAACUGAUAGAGCUAAAAGUUCAAAGGCCUCUAUGGUUAUAAUCAGGGAAUUCAAAACCUCCAUUUCAGUAAUUGAUAGAACUACUAGAGAGAAAAUCAGCAAGGGUAUAGAAGAUCAGAACAAUACAUAAACCAACAGGAUCUCACUGACAUAAACAGAACACUCCACCCAACAAUAACAAAACACACGCACCCAUGAAACACUCUGGACAGACCAUCAAACAACCUCAAUAAAAGAAUCAAAAUGACAGCAUGUUCUCUGACCACAAUGGAGCCAAACUAGAAAUUAGUAACAGAAACACAUUAGGAGAUGUCUAAACACAUGACUAGAAUUGAUCUAUAGAUUUAAUGCAAUGCCUACUAAAAUCCCAGUACGAUUUUUUACAGGCAUAGACAAUAGACAUAGCCAAAACUUAUUCUAAAAUACAUAUGAAGAUGCACAGGCCCUAGUUAUACAAUCUUGACAAAGAAGAAUAAAGUGGGAAGAAUCUAUUUGAUUUUAAGGCUUACCAUGUAACUAUAGUCAUCAAGAGAGUGUGGUAUCGGCAGACGGUCAGACAUACAGAUCAAUGGAAUGUAACAGAGGACCCAGAAAUAGGCCCACACAGAUAUGCUCAAUGGAUAUUUGACAAGCGUGCAAAACAAUUCAAUGGAAGAAUAAGCUUUCAAAAAAAUGGCGUUGGAGCAACCGGACAUCCAUAGGAAAAAAUGAACCCAUACCUAAACCAUAAACCUUAUAUAAAAAUAAACACAAAAUGAAUCAUAGGCUUAAAUGUAAGCUAUAAAACUUUUAGAGAAAAACACAGGAGAAAAUAUUGUGAUCUAGGGCUAGGAAAAGUUCUAACUUGAUACCUAAAGAAUGACCAUAAAAGGAAAAUGUGGUAAGUUGGUCUUUUUAAAAAUUAAAAGAUUUUGCUCUGUGAAAGAGUAUGUGAAAAAAAUGAAAGAACAAGUUGCCAACUGGGAAAAAAAUGUUUGCAAACCAAAUAUCUGAACUCUGAAGGACUCCAAAACUUAACAUUAAAAAUGAAACUAAACAAUUUUAAAAUGAGUAAAUGACAUGAACAGACAUUUCACCAAACAGGAUAUACAGGUGGCAAACAAGCACAUGAAAAGAUGUUUAACAUCAUUAGCUAUUAGAGAAAUGCAAAUUAAAACUACCAUGAGAUACUACUACACACCCAACAGAAUGGCUAAAAUAAAAUAUAGUAGGCCAGGCAGGGCAGCUCACACUUGUAAUUCCAGCAGCACUUUGGAAGGCCGAGGCGGGCGGGUCACUUGAGCCCAGGAGUUCGAGACCAGCCUGGGCAACAUGGUGAAACCUCAUCUCUACAAAAAUUAGCUGGGCAUUAUGGCACACAACUGUAUUCCCAGCUACUUGGGAAACUGAGGCAGGAGGAUUGCUUGAGCCUGGGAGGUGGAGGUUGCAGUAAGCCAAGAUUGUGCCACUGCAUUCCAGCCUGGGUGACAGUGAGACCCUGUCUCAAAAAAAAAAAAAAAAAGGCAAACCAAAUGCUGGCAAGGAUGUGGAAAAAUUGAAUCACUCCAACAUUGCUGUUGGGAAUGUAAAAUGUGACCAUAACUCUAGAAAAUUUGGUACCUUCUAAUAAAACAUGCAUCUAUCAUGUGACUCAGCAAUUACACUGCUAGAGAUCUGAGAGAAAUGAAAAUGUUUUAUGUUGACGUGAAAACAUGUACAAAUAUGUUCAUUGCAGCUGUAUCUGUAAUAGCCAAACACUGGAUCAGCCCAGAUGUCCUUCAACAGGUAAAACAAAACAUAUCAUGGAAAGUACUCAGCAAUAAAAAGGAAUGAAUAAAAAGAAUGAAACAUUGAUAUAUGUGGCAACUUGAAGGAAUACCGGGGAAUUACACUGAGUGAAAAGCCAAUCCUGAAAGGUUACAUACUGUAUGAUUCCAUUUAUAUAAUAUUCUUGAAAUGACAAAAUCAUAGAAAAAUGGAGGACAGAUUAGUGGUUGCCAGGGGUUACGGAUGGUGGUGUGCAGAAGACAGGGGGGAGGUGGGUGUGAUUAUAAAAGGGCAACACGAGAGAUCUUGUGGUGUUGAAACUGUUCAAUAUCUUAUAGGAUACAUAAACUUACCUAGGUGAUUACACUAUAGAAUUAUAAAUUAUAUAGAAUACAUCAUACAAAUAUUCAUUAAUACAGUGAAACUAGGAAGUCUGAAUAUGAUUGGUGGAUUUGGAGUCUGUAUAUGAUUGGUGGAUUAUAUCAAAGUCAAUGUCCUGGUUGUUAUACUAUAGUUUUACAAAAUCUUACUUUUAGGAGAAACAGGGUAAGGUAUACAGAAUUAUUUGAAUUAUCUCUGAAUUACUUUUUUAGAACUACAUGUGAAUCUAUAUUCAUCUCAAUAAAAUUUUCAUUAAAAAAAUCUGAAUGGGCUGGGCACAGUGGCUCACACCUCUAAUCCCAGCACUUUGGGAGGCUGAGGUGGGUGGAUCACUUGAGGACAGGAGUUCGAGAGCAGCCCGGCCAACGUGGUGAACCCCGUCUCUACUAAAAAUACCAGAAUUAGUCAGGCAUUGUGGUGCAUGCCUGUACUCCCAGCUACUUGGGAGGCUGAGGCAGGAGAAUCACUUGAACCCAGGAGGCAGAGGUUGAAGUGGGCCGAGAUCACACCACUGCACUCCAGCCUGGGCGACAGUGAGACCCUGUUUCAAAAAAAAAAAAAAGAAUCUGAAUGCAUACUACAUGCCAUUACAUGAAUAAUGUCUGUUUCACAGAUGAAGGAACUGAAGUUGAGUGGUUGGUAAACUGACUUAAGAUUACAGAGCUAGUAAGAAGAUGGGCUGGCAUUCAAACUGGUUUGUUCAGCUGAUAACUUAGAAUAUAAUAUAAAUGACUUAAGCGUCCAAUUAGUUGACUGAAGAAGUAAAAAAAUAACUAUUAAUAUAUAACUUCAAAGGGUGAGCAACAUUGUGCUUUCUGCUAAUAUGAUAUAAAUUUAAAAACUUUUGCUUUAGAAUGGUAUGCUAGGACUUAUGUACUAGAGCAUAGUAUCAAGAGUACUAUAAAUAUAAGCGAUUUCUUCGUCUAAUAAUUAUAAAUUUGAAUUAUAAGACUAUCAACAGAAAACAAACACCAAAAAAUACCCAUACCUACUUAAUGUUGGCUUCAGAUUAAAAUAAAAAUAUCCUAAGCCAAGUUUCAGCAAAAUAAUUUUAUUUCCUAACAUAUGGUAACAUAUACAUCCAAUAUGUGCUCCCCUUGCA